Molecule: ribosomal RNA, 433 nt
Filed under: uncultured bacterium
Lineage: Bacteria
Description: partial 16S ribosomal RNA
Rfam family: Bacterial small subunit ribosomal RNA
Source: RNAcentral
AACGAACGCUGGCGGCAUGCCUAACACAUGCAAGUCGAACGAGACCUUCGGGUCUAGUGGCGCACGGGUGCGUAACGCGUGGGAACCUGCCCUUAGGUUCGGAAUAACUCCCCGAAAGGGGUGCUAAUACCGGAUAAUGUCUUCGGACCAAAGAUUUAUCGCCUUUGGAUGGGCCCGCGUUGGAUUAGCUAGUUGGUAGGGUAAAAGCCUACCAAGGCGACGAUCCAUAGCUGGUCUGAGAGGAUGAUCAGCCACACUGGGACUGAGACACGGCCCAGACUCCUACGGGAGGCAGCAGUAGGGAAUAUUAGACAAUGGGCGAAAGCCUGAUCCAGCAAUGCCGCGUGAGUGAUGAAGGCCUUAGGGUUGUAAAGCUCUUUUACCCGGGAUGAUAAUGACAGUACCGGGAGAAUAAGCUCCGGCUAACUCCGUG